This 327-nucleotide unclassified non-coding RNA is filed under the name soil metagenome. Its description in RNAcentral is "partial contains 5.8S ribosomal RNA, internal transcribed spacer 2, and large subunit ribosomal RNA". The stretch from base 1 to 120 matches the Rfam family "5.8S ribosomal RNA", at positions 35 to 154 of the family's 154-position model. The record is from RNAcentral.
GAUGAAGAACGUAGCGAAAUGCGAUAAGUAAUGUGAAUUGCAGAAUUUAGUGAAUCAUCGAAUCUUUGAACGCACAUUGCGCCCUUUGGUAUUCCGAAGGGCAUGCCUGUUCGAGCGUCAUUAUAACCACUCAAGCCUUUGCUUGGUAUUGGGGUUCGCGGUCUCGCGGCCCCUAAAAUCAGUGGCGGUGCCUGUCGGCUCUACGCGUAGUAAUACUCCUCGCGAUUGAGACCGGUGGGCAGCUUGCCAACAACCCUAAUUUUCUCAGGUUGACCUCGGAUCAGGUAGGGAUACCCGCUGAACUUAAGCAUAUCAAUAAGCGGAGGA